UGUUUUAUUUCUACAAUUUCCAAAAGAUAACCAAACAAAACAUAAUUACUUUUACGAGAUGUAUUUGUGCAGUAGUAGCACAAUUUCGAACCUUUUUGCAUUCGUUUUUACUUACACUCGUAUGUUGACUUAUCCAUAUUGACGUUGAGGUUUUAAAUUUCGGCAGAUUUUUCUUAGCGAUCAUCGCAAAUUGAAUUAAUGGGGCGUUUCAGGCCCCGAAGUGAACAUAAUUGUACACUCGCAAACUCGAUCAAAAAUGAGGGCUGAGGGGCUUACGUUGCAAACCUCCCUUGUUUGGCUAAUCGUUUGGACCUUUUGUCCAAGAUGGUGACGGGGCUUCCCACAAGGGCAUAAGGCGAGGGCCCUCCCAGUCAACACCACCUCAUAUGACUGCCUGCUGCAGUUGUUCGAGAGAUGUCCAGUCUGCAGCCGAACAUGCAGCAUAAAGAAGACCAGCAAGGGGCCCCUCGUCCGGCCAGCAACCUUCACCUGUCAGCAGCAACAGCUUUCAUAAGCUCAUCAUUUGUACAAAUACAGAAGCAUUUUUGAUGAGGGGCCAGGAGCUGAUCUACGCUGCUAUACCCAUCAAUGGGGCUCUGGCAAAGACCUCACCUCCAGCCUCACCUCUUGCCGGUCGUCGAUGGGGAGAACAAAAUAUGCAUGAGUUGCAGAGAGACCUGGCGCUCAACACAUCCACAAUGAGAAACAUGUAUGGAGCCAGCACAUGGAGACUUGCAAG
Long non-coding RNA from Salvelinus sp. IW2-2015, 739 nucleotides. RefSeq lists it as uncharacterized. The record is from RefSeq and is a predicted model, not a curated record. Lineage: Eukaryota; Metazoa; Chordata; Actinopteri; Salmoniformes; Salmonidae.